Molecule: long non-coding RNA, 1174 nt
Filed under: Ricinus communis (castor bean)
Lineage: Eukaryota; Viridiplantae; Streptophyta; Magnoliopsida; Malpighiales; Euphorbiaceae
Description: long non-coding RNA (RCOM_LNC002678)
Source: RNAcentral
GCAAAAAUUACUGACUUGGAAAAUGCUCCUGAUGAAGAAUGCAAGUGGCACCUGCAUCUCGGAAUGAUUCUGACAUUGCCCUGAUUAAGAAAUCAUCUAUCGAUAAUAAUGGCAUAGCUCUGGUGCAAGUUACAUGCGAAGUGCGAGUUCAAUGUCAAUGACAGAUAUCUAUAUCCUUUUAUACUGCUCUUUUGCACAUUUUGCAGGCAUGAUUACACAUGUCUGAGAAGGAAGGCGCUUACAGGGAAAAAACAAGGAAUGGGGAUGAUAUUCUUCAAAGGCCUAAGUUGGUAUUGAUCCUUGUAAUUGUAGUCUACUUUUUGUACAUAGUCANNNAGAAAAUCAUCCAAUAUACUAAUGCAUACAGACUUAUGAACUAGCCUAAGUAUACAACACCAUUCACCAUUUAAUUUACAUAUUGUUUAUAAUAAAUUCAUAUGAAACUCAUUUCUGAUUUUAGUAAAUUUCUCAUGUUGAUUCAUUUUAAAUUUAUAAUUUUACCGCCCUGUACCUCAAAUGUGUAGCUUUAUUAAUUUAUAUCUCUUGUUAGUUUAGAAUUUAUAAUCUCUAAUACAAUUUGAUCCAAGUAUAAUCAAUUUUAUAGAAUUAAUAAAUGUAGAGUUUUAAUUAAAUUCCUAUAUAUAUAUAUAUAUAUAGUGCUAAUCCUUCCUCCCUCACAAGUUGAGGGAAUAAAGCAUGUAAAAUGGUUAUUUCAGUUGGUUCCCAUUUAUCAAAUUGUGUUGCCAAUCGUUUUUUUUACUUUUGUUUUUUGUACUUAAGUCUUUGUGUUAACAGUUCCGCAAAUCCGUUUGUUUUGUUGUUAAAUAAUUUAUGUAUAAUAAACUUUGUUAAUUCAUUUUCCAAGUCGUCAUUGAUAUUUCCUAAUCAAUUUCUUUCCAAAUUCACUUGAGUGGGUAUACAGGAAUCUAAAUUUUGUCGAAUUGUUAAUGUUAUGCUCUUUUGAGGUGUUCAUGUUCCUUCAUUUGGCUUAUGUUAUUCAUGUAAUGUUGAGACUAAAUGAUCCUAUGAAAUUAUGCUGAUACUUCCCACACUGUCUGUUGCCACUUUUUCAAAUCCCCAAGUAACUUCCUUCCUUCCUUCCUUCUUCUUUUUCUCAGAGUCUAUUGACAUUGCCUUCAAUUCGGCCUUGCAGACAGAGAUACUAGAAGUUAAG